CAAAGUUUGAGCAUUAAUUAACUGAUUAUCCCUUUCUGAUCAUGGUGGUUGGGGGGAAAAGUACUUUCCGCUUUAGCUUUUUCUGUACAUUUUCUUUAAUUGUUUACUCUUUUACUAACGUUUACUGUUAAAAAAUUAAGGCAAUUUGCAAAUUUCUGAAGCAGGCAGAACUUGCUGCUAAGCAUGACCAACUGAGGAUUGCGUUUAAGUCCUGGUUUUGCAAACCUCAAAUCGUUACUGGUGCAUGUGCAGCUAUUAAAUUGUGUGAAAAAUUAAUUUGACUCCUUUGCAUUCGAUAGAAUCUGCUGCCUUUACACAAUCUGGCCUAUUAUAUGAUUGCAGACUUUCAACUGCUAUAAAUGAUCUGGCUAGUAGUUGAGAUGCAUCAAAUUACUAUUAAAUAUGACAAUUAGAUGAUAAUUCACUGACCGCCCAGAAACAGAUUCUGAUAGCACAAUUGAGAGUAAACACUACGUAUCUGAAAUAAGAGAAAAUAAAUGUUGGAAAUGCACAGCUUGUGAGACAACAUCAGUCAAGAGAGAAAUGGAGUUUGCAUUUCGGGUUGAUGUUUAUCAUGAAGGUCAAAUUAUGAAAGGUUAGCAAUUUGUGGAUGAAACAGAAAUUUGUAACUCCUCAUAUAAUGAAGCAGUCCAGGUAGCAAGAUUUGAAAAAAACCCAUCAACUGGCCAGAGAGUCAAACAGCACAAAAAUAGUCCCUUCGGCCCAAGUUGUCUUUGCUGACCAAGAUACCCCAUCUAUGCUAGUCGUAUCUGACCACGUUUGGCAUAUAUCUUGUACUGUCACGUAUAAAACCAUGCUGACUAUCUUUAAUCAGGCCCUGUCUAUCCAAAUGCUUAUUUUGUAUAUCUUAUCCUACAGAAUUCUCUCCACUAACUUACCUGCCGCAGAUAUUAAGCUCACUGGUCUAAAGUGCCUAGACUUUUCCUUGCAGGCCUACUUAAAUAGAGGCACAACAUUGGCUUUCCUCCAGUCUUUUGGCAUUUCACCAGUGAUAGAUGACAGCCAGGGCUCCUGCAAUGUCUUCUCCAGCUUUCCACGGUGUCCUUGGAUAUAUCUGUUCAGGCCCGGGAGAUUUAACUACCUUUGUACGCCUUAGGAUAUCUUGCGCCACCUCAAGGUAAUGUGGAUGGUCCUCAAGCCACCCCCCCCUUAACUAACCCAACUACCCCAGUGGCCAUGUCUUUCUCCACG
This is a long non-coding RNA of Amblyraja radiata (thorny skate), 1212 nucleotides long. RefSeq lists it as uncharacterized. The transcript is spliced from 2 exons. The record is from RefSeq and is a predicted model, not a curated record. Lineage: Eukaryota; Metazoa; Chordata; Chondrichthyes; Rajiformes; Rajidae.